RNAcentral lists this ribosomal RNA (253 nucleotides) under uncultured bacterium. Its description in RNAcentral is "partial 16S ribosomal RNA". It matches the Rfam family "Bacterial small subunit ribosomal RNA", at positions 524 to 776 of the family's 1533-position model. The record is from RNAcentral.
AACGUAGGUGGCGAGCGUUAUCCGGAUUUACUGGGCGUAAAGGGUGUGCAGGCGGACUGUUAAGUGGUGCAUGAAAUCUCCGCGCUUAACGUGGAGAGGCUGUGCCAGACUGGCGUGCUGGAGUGUGGCAGAGGGAGGUGGAAUUCCACGUGUAGCAGUGAAAUGCGUAGAGAUGUGGAGGAACACCGAUGGCGAAGGCAGCCUCCUGGGCCAGCACUGACGCUCAUGCACGAAAGCGUGGGGAGCAAACAGG